This 659-nucleotide ribosomal RNA is filed under the name uncultured bacterium. RNAcentral describes it as "bacterial SSU rRNA". It matches the Rfam family "Bacterial small subunit ribosomal RNA", at positions 54 to 745 of the family's 1533-position model. The record is from RNAcentral.
CAUGCAAGUCGAGCGUGAUUCUUAAACUUCGGUUUUUGAUGAAAGCGGCGAACGGGUGAGUAACGCGUGGGAACGUGCCCUUUAGUAUGGAAUAGCCCGGGGAAACCUGGAAUAAUACCAUAUGCGCCCUUCGGGGGAAAGAUUUAUCGCUAAGGGAUCGGCCCGCGUCUGAUUAGGUAGUUGGUAAGGUAAAGGCUUACCAAGCCUACGAUCAGUAGCUGGUUUGAGAGGAUGAUCAGCCACACUGGGACUGAGACACGGCCCAGACUCCUACGGGAGGCAGCAGUGGGGAAUCUUGGACAAUGGGGGCAACCCUGAUCCAGCCAUGCCGCGUGAGUGAAGAAGGCCUUCGGGUUGUAAAACUCUUUCAACGGUGAAGAUAAUGACGGUAACCGUAGAAGAAGCCCCGGCUAACUCCGUGCCAGCAGCCGCGGUAAUACGGAGGGGGCUAGCGUUGUUCGGAAUUACUGGGCGUAAAGAGCAUGUAGGCGGACUGGUCAGUCAGUGGUGAAAUCCCGGAGCUCAACUCCGGAACUGCCUUUGAUACUGCCGGUCUAGAGUUUCGGAGAGGUGAGUGGAAUUCCGAGUGUAGAGGUGAAAUUCGUAGAUAUUCGGAGGAACACCAGCGGCGAAGGCGGCUCACUGGCCAAAAACUGACG